UACGUAGGGCGCAAGCGUUGUCCGGAAUUAUUGGGCGUAAGGAGCUCGUAGGCGGCUUGUCACGUCGAUUGUGAAAGCCCGAGGCUUAACCUCGGGUCUGCAGUCGAUACGGGCUAGCUAGAGUGUGGUAGGGGAGAUCGGAAUUCCUGGUGUAGCGGUGAAAUGCGCAGAUAUCAGGAGGAACACCGGUGGCGAAGGCGGAUCUCUGGGCCAUUACUGACGCUGAGGAGCGAAAGCGUGGGGAGCGAACAGG
This 253-nucleotide ribosomal RNA is filed under the name uncultured bacterium. Its description in RNAcentral is "partial 16S ribosomal RNA". It matches the Rfam family "Bacterial small subunit ribosomal RNA", at positions 524 to 776 of the family's 1533-position model. The record is from RNAcentral.